This 549-nucleotide ribosomal RNA is filed under the name uncultured bacterium. Its description in RNAcentral is "bacterial SSU rRNA". It matches the Rfam family "Bacterial small subunit ribosomal RNA", at positions 356 to 896 of the family's 1533-position model. The record is from RNAcentral.
AGGGAAUCUUCGGCAAUGGACGGAAGUCUGACCGAGCAACGCCGCGUGAGUGAAGAAGGUUUUCGGAUCGUAAAGCUCUGUUGUAAGAGAAGAACGAGUGUGAGAGUGGAAAGUUCACACUGUGACGGUAUCUUACCAGAAAGGGACGGCUAACUGCGUGCCAGCAGCCGCGGUAAUACGUAGGUCCCGAGCGUUGUCCGGAUUUAUUGGGCGUAAAGCGAGCGCAGGCGGUUAGAUAAGUCUGAAGUUAAAGGCUGUGGCUUAACCAUAGUACGCUCUGGAAACUGUUUAACUUGAGUGCAGAAGGGGAGAGUGGAAUUCCAUGUGUAGCGGUGAAAUGCGUAGAUAUAUGGAGGAACACCGGUGGCGAAAGCGGCUCUCUGGUCUGUAACUGACGCUGAGGCUCGAAAGCGUGGGGAGCAAACAGGAUUAGAUACCCUGGUAGUCCACGCCGUAAACGAUGAGUGCUAGGUGUUAGACCCUUUCCGGGGUUUAGUGCCGCAGCUAACGCAUUAAGCACUCCGCCUGGGGAGUACGACCGCAAGGUUG